Molecule: long non-coding RNA, 448 nt
Filed under: Equus caballus (horse)
Lineage: Eukaryota; Metazoa; Chordata; Mammalia; Perissodactyla; Equidae
Description: lncRNA (ENSECAG00000055704.1)
Source: RNAcentral
UUUUUACAUUAGGACAAAGGACAUUGUCAAUUUAUUAUCCUCAUUUCAACCAUUUUACAGGUGAAGAUCAUGUUUCAAAACCAUUUUUUAAAGAAUUCUUCAUAAAUAAGCAAAGGCCACACAUUCCCAAAACCCCGUAAUCAAAUGUGUGAUGGGAAAGCAAUAUAUUCACGUUCAAUUUAGUCAACAAGUAUUAUAUGAGGCCAGAAAUAUUCACUCCACUACUGAGUCUUGUGCAGAUGUCCCACACUCUGUAAAGAGAUGAGGAGAACAUGAAGGUCUCACCCAUCCCUACCCCACACCAAGAAACCCUUCGUGCACUGCAGUGAGAAACCUGUUUCCAGACUGUGAAAAGGGGAAAUUCCACAGAAUAACUGUCCUUCAGACUCAGCACAACUGAGACAAGUGUCAUACUCUGUGGCUUAACUGGCUACUAAAUACAACAGGG